Molecule: ribosomal RNA, 301 nt
Filed under: uncultured bacterium
Lineage: Bacteria
Description: partial 16S ribosomal RNA
Rfam family: Bacterial small subunit ribosomal RNA
Source: RNAcentral
CAGUAGCCACGGGAAAACGUAGGUGGCAAGCGUUGUCCGGAAUUAUUGGGCGUAAAGCGCGCGCAGGCGGAUAGGUCAGUCUGUCUUAAAAGUUCGGGGCUUAACCCCGUGAUGGGAUGGAAACUGCCAAUCUAGAGUAUCGGAGAGGAAAGUGGAAUUCCUAGUGUAGCGGUGAAAUGCGUAGAUAUUAGGAAGAACACCAGUGGCGAAGGCGACUUCCUGGACGAAAACUGACGCUGAGGCGCGAAAGCCAGGGGAGCGAACGGGAUUAGAUACCCGCGUAGUCCCUGUCUCUUAUACA